CCAGACUCCUACGGGAGGCAGCAGUGGGGGAUAUUGCACAAUGGGGGAAACCCUGAUGCAGCGACGCCGCGUGAGUGAAGAAGUAUUUCGGUAUGUAAAGCUCUAUCAGCAGGGACGAAAAUGACGGUACCUGAGUAAGAAGCCCCGGCUAACUACGUGCCAGCAGCCGCGGUAAUACGUAGGGGGCAAGCGUUAUCCGGAUUUACUGGGUGUAAAGGGAGCGUAGACGGUUAUGCAAGUCUGGAGUGAAAGGCGGGGGCCCAACCCCGGGACUGCUCUUGGAACUGUGCGGCUGGAGUGCGGGAGGGGCAGGCGGAAUUCCUGGUGUAGCGGUGAAAUGCGUAGAUAUCAGGAGGAACACCGGCGGCGAAGGCGGCCUGCUGGACCGCGACUGACGUUGAGGCUCGAAAGCGUGGGGAGCGAACAGGAUUAGAUACCCCGGUA
This 444-nucleotide ribosomal RNA is filed under the name uncultured bacterium. Its description in RNAcentral is "bacterial SSU rRNA". It matches the Rfam family "Bacterial small subunit ribosomal RNA", at positions 331 to 792 of the family's 1533-position model. The record is from RNAcentral.